RNA transcript from Rosa chinensis, 738 nucleotides. It is a transcript of the gene named protein ARV 2-like, with no coding region annotated. The record is from RefSeq and is a predicted model, not a curated record. The transcript is spliced from 6 exons. Lineage: Eukaryota; Viridiplantae; Streptophyta; Magnoliopsida; Rosales; Rosaceae.
GUCCGAUAGACAAGCCAACUAUAUAUCAAUUCCAAGCUGGGGUUGGUUUGUUUCGUUUCUUCCUGUUCAUGUAUAGGCAGAACGACUUCGUUUCAACUUCUGUGAAUAGGGUAAUUCCAAAGGAUGUUGCAGAUGACUAGUACGUAGAGUCCGAGCCCAUGAUUCCAGAUUAUUGUGAUUGAUUUGAUAUAGGAGUCUCUUACUGGAAAGGGUGGAGAUCCAAUGAGAUGCUGAUGGAUGUUGUAUUCGGAUGUUUCAUGUGUCUAUCUACCUUUCUGUUUGCUCCGAGGGCUCUUUUCAGCACAUUCCCUAGAUCACUUGGAUACAAAGACGACCUGCUGGCACUACUUAUUUCAAGUUACUUCAGGAUGUUUCUAUUUGCAAUACUGGUGCGGGAAUGUCCUUCUAUGACUUUGAACAUUGAUUUAUUUGUGUUAUCCUCCAACACAGUGGCACUCAAAGGUCAGAUGAUAAAUGAUAACUCGGACAGCUAUGAGUAGAUGUAUUGCAGCCUUCUUCAGUGCUCAUGUUGUAAAGUCUUUGCGAACUUUUAGAUGUUUUAUCACUUUUUGUUUGUUAUAUAUAAGACGGUGCUUCUUUGAGAACAAGUAUUUUUGUUAUGUCCUCCAAAGGCAGGGGCAGUGACUAGUAUUCAAUAUGAGUGCUGUAAAAUAUGAUGUAGUAAAGAUAUACAAUGUUCGUCCUUUAAGAAAUAGAUUUGUGAUAUAGUUGAUUGAA